Molecule: transfer RNA, 86 nt
Filed under: Candidatus Saelkia tenebricola
Lineage: Bacteria; Pseudomonadati; Candidatus Omnitrophota
Description: tRNA-Leu
Rfam family: tRNA
About the family: Transfer RNA (tRNA) molecules are approximately 80 nucleotides in length. Their secondary structure includes four short double-helical elements and three loops (D, anti-codon, and T loops).
Source: RNAcentral
GCCGGGAUGGCGGAAUUGGCAGACGCAUCGGACUUAAAAUCCGAUGUUCCGUAAGGGACGUGCCGGUUCAAGUCCGGCUCUCGGCA